RNAcentral lists this ribosomal RNA (253 nucleotides) under uncultured bacterium. RNAcentral describes it as "partial 16S ribosomal RNA". It matches the Rfam family "Bacterial small subunit ribosomal RNA", at positions 524 to 776 of the family's 1533-position model. The record is from RNAcentral.
UACGUAGGGUGCGAGCGUUAAUCGGAAUUACUGGGCGUAAAGCGUGCGCAGGCGGUUUUGUAAGACAGAUGUGAAAUCCCCGGGCUUAACCUGGGAACUGCGUUUGUGACUGCAAGACUCGAGUACGGCAGAGGGGGGUGGAAUUCCACGUGUAGCAGUGAAAUGCGUAGAGAUGUGGAGGAACACCGGUGGCGAAGGCGGCAUCCUGGACCGGCAUUGACGCUGAGGCGCGAAAGCCAGGGGAGCAAACGGG